UUAAGGAGCAACUUUUUUUGUGGCUGCAUAGCCACGAGGACCACGGAGGAGAAUUGUUCCUACUGGUUUCAAGGAGAAAGGAAGUUAAAACUUCUAUUUCACAUGCCCUGCCCGCCCGGCCCCCAAAGCUCUGUACGUGGUUUUCUCCUGCUCUCCAGUGGUUUCUCCAGUGGAGACAGGCAAAUAACUAACUAAGAGUGAUUUUUCUGCUCUGCACAUGGACUCUGUGGUCUAGCCUAUUCUAGUGGGAGGGAGAAGUGGCAUUUUACAAGUGGGAAUGUCAGCCUAUCAGAUCUGAACCAUCUACUGUGUACGGGAGACUAAGUGGGGAGCAGGCAGUGAGACAGGGCCCGGGAUUAGAGUCUAGAGGAGUUCCCGGAACAGCAGGCAAAUACCAAGGGCAGAGGCCGGGGUGGGAUUUGCCGACUCAGGUCUGAGUGACCUGUUCAGCUGAGCGAUGGAAGGUGAGAGUGAUAGGAAUGGCAGGCUGAGAGGAGGCGUCCUGGAACAGGGAACAAUAGCAGACAUCGAGGAAGGUCACCACGUGUGGAGGAAACGUCAGUGCAAAACCUGGUAGGGUUGUUCUGGGCUCAGACCAUACGGUGCGCGUGUGCGUGGCACAGGGCAAGACAAAAGGAUCACGCAAAUGUAGAUGCUGGCAGGGGCCAGGUGGGUGGUACCUGUGGCCAACAGGAGGUGGAGGGGAGGGGCGGAGGGAAAAAAGGGGAGAGCCAGCCCUCGCCCUCCCAUUCGGAAAGCUCUGGGAAAUAGAUGCAGCCGUUAAGCCUGGGAGAGGACAAGCCCAAGGUAACUGGAACUGCCAAGUUCAGAUGCUCUCCAGGCGGGCAAGGGGCAUUGACAUGAACAUGAUGACUUUGAAAGCUCCAAGCAUCCAAAUGGACUAUUCUGUGCUGUGACAGGGAACUGAAUUUUGGAACAGAUUCCUGAGGAUCCCGUGGGGUUUUGCCCAUAUUUUUAUAAGCAGAAUUAUAUUCUUAGCUCACAAAGGUUUUGUGACAAGGGACAAUGUUGCUGGUUGAACUGUCUUGCUAUGACAGGGGCUCCAAAACCAGACAGACCUUGCAGGGAAGAACAGGGAACAAUGGAUGAAUGUUUGCCUCAGGGAUGGCUGAUGACAUGGUAACGGGGCGGCCCUCAGUACGAGGACAGUAAUUUGGUGGCUAGAAUUCUGGAAUUUGGUGGCGAACCCCAAGUGUUUCAAGGUAAGGACUCAAGGUGGGGGGAAAUGGGGGGGGAUUGCACAGAAAUCCAGGUCUUAGAGCUGGGGUAGGUGGCAGGACUCUAUACACAAAGAACUCAGGAAGGUGAGAGUAGCCUAGGGCAUGAGUCCGCAGAGGGGUAACAGGAGGUGGCUCAAUUUUCACUGACCCUCUGAGCUAGAAGCUCCAGGUUACUUGGUGUGGCCUGACCCACUGGUCU
This 1440-nucleotide long non-coding RNA is filed under the name Sus scrofa (pig). Its description in RNAcentral is "lncRNA (ENSSSCG00015056114.1)". The record is from RNAcentral. Lineage: Eukaryota; Metazoa; Chordata; Mammalia; Artiodactyla; Suidae.